This 440-nucleotide ribosomal RNA is filed under the name uncultured bacterium. RNAcentral's name for it is "partial 16S ribosomal RNA". It matches the Rfam family "Bacterial small subunit ribosomal RNA", at positions 338 to 795 of the family's 1533-position model. The record is from RNAcentral.
CCUACGGGAGGCAGCAGUAGGGAAUAUUGCUCAAUGGGCGAAACCCUGAAGCAGCAACGCCGCGUGCAGGAUGACGGUUUUCGGAUUGUAAACUCCUUUUGUUAGAGAAGAUAAUUACGGUUUCUAAUGAAUAAUCACCUGCCAACUCCGUGCCAGCAGCCGCGGUAAUACGGAGGGUGCAAGCGUUAAUCGGAAUCACUGGGCGUAAAGAGCGCGUAGGCGGGAUAGCAAGUCACAUGUGAAAUCCUCUGGCUUAACCAUAGAACUGCAUUUGAAACUGUUAUUCUAGAGUGUGUGAGAGGUAGGUGGAAUUCGUGGUGUAGGGGUAAAAUCCGUAGAGAUCAAGAGGAAUAUUCAUGGCGAAGGCGACCUGCUAGAACAUAACUGACGCUGAUGCGCGAAAGCGUGGGUAGCAAACAGGAUUAGAUACCCGUGUAGUC